GGAACUGCCUGAUGGCGGGGGAUAACUACUGGAAACGGUAGCUAAUACCGCAUAACGUCGCAAGACCAAAGAGGGGACCUUCGGGCCUCUUGCCAUCGGAUGUGCCCAGAUGGGAUUAGCUAGUAGGUGGGGUAACGGCUCACCUAGGCGACGAUCCCUAGCUGGUCUGAGAGGAUGACCAGCCACACUGGAACUGAGACACGGUCCAG
Molecule: ribosomal RNA, 209 nt
Filed under: uncultured bacterium
Lineage: Bacteria
Description: partial 16S ribosomal RNA
Rfam family: Bacterial small subunit ribosomal RNA
Source: RNAcentral